UCGGAUUGUAGUCUGCAACCCGACUACAUGAAGCUGGAAUCGCUAGUAAUCGCAGAUCAGAAUGCUGCGGUGAAUACGUUCCCGGGUCUUGUACACACCGCCCGUCACACCAUGGGAGUCGGAAAUGCCCGAAGCCAGUGACCCAACCUUAAGGAGGGGAGCUGUCGAAGGUGGAGCCCGGUGACUGGGGGUGAAGUCGUAACAAGGUAUC
This 211-nucleotide ribosomal RNA is filed under the name uncultured bacterium. RNAcentral describes it as "partial 16S ribosomal RNA". It matches the Rfam family "Bacterial small subunit ribosomal RNA", at positions 1293 to 1500 of the family's 1533-position model. The record is from RNAcentral.